AUGGCCUUUUCCUGGAGGAGACAGAGGCCAGGUGGUGCCCGCCAGCAAAACCAAACGAGUAUUGCAGUGGAGCAGGGGAGCUCAUGUGGCAAACAUGUACAGGUGAAGAGCUGGCUUACAUCUCCUCCACAACCUGCCGCCUCCUUUCCCCUGCACCAGGGUUGUCAUUCUGCAAGCAGGAAUGUACUUGGGUUCACACAGUUUAUGUCUCCAGUCCAGCUGUGUGUCUUGGAGGAUGUCGUUGCACCAGGUUCCUCAUUUAUAAAAUGAAGGACUAGACUUCACACCCUUUGCGGCACCACAGUCUGCAGAUGCUAAAUAAAGUUGUAAUGAAAGUGAAGGAAAUUGGCUCCUGUGUCAGAGUGCUUGUUGUUACUGAUGUCAGAGACGAGCUCACCAGGAAUUCCCUGGCUGUCCAGUGGUUAGGACACUGCACUUGUACUUCAGGGGGCACAGGUUUGAUCCUUGGUCUGAGAACUAAGAUCCUGUAUGCCACGUGGCAUGUCCACUCCCCUCCCCAAAGUAUAUAUAGAUAAGCACCAACAGUCCAU
This 551-nucleotide long non-coding RNA is filed under the name Capra hircus (goat). Its description in RNAcentral is "lncRNA (ENSCHIG00000000697.1)". Lineage: Eukaryota; Metazoa; Chordata; Mammalia; Artiodactyla; Bovidae. The record is from RNAcentral.